GCCACUGUACAUCAUUACAGACCUUUAAGCAAAAGAAAUCUAGUGGGAACGUGCAGGAUGGAUUCUUGAUAAAGAUGGGACCCAAGAAGAAGGGUGUAAGCAUCUCAGUGUCAUUCACUCAGCAUCUUUUUUUUUUUGCGGUACGCGGCUCUCUCACUGUUGUGGCCUCUCCCGUUGCAGAUCACAGGCUCCAGACGCGCAGGCUCAGCGGCCAUGGCUCAUGGGCCCAGCCGCUCCGCGGCAGGUGGGAUCUUCCCGGACCGGGGCACGAACCCACAUCCCCUGCAUCGGCAGGCGGACUCUCAACCACUGCACCACCAGGGAAGCCCCACUCAGCAUCUUUUUAUACCUGCAUCAUGCAGACACAGCAAUGCAAAGCAGGAUAUACAAGCUCAGGUAUGUUAUUAAUUAUACUGCAUCCCACACAUCAACAUACUUAAAAACUGCAAAGAGCUUUAGAGAUUAUUUAUGGUAGAGCUGAGACAGGAAUCCAGGGCUCCAAUUCUCAGUCAGUACAUGUCCCGGUAUAUGCACUGCUGCUCCAAGGGGGUCACAAUGUAGAGUUCAUAGAACCCCAUUAAGCCCCCAUAACUGAUAUCAACAUAACAGAGCCAAUGUAAACUCAGAGCUUUUAGGACAACUCUGACUGUGAGCCUCAGUUGCCACUUCAUCCAAUACAAAACUUAGUCACCCCCUGAUUUCCACCUGCUCUUAGAAUACACAACUCUUUUCCCAACAUGUGACCAUACUUUGCUUAGCUUUGUUGCCUGGUUGUUCGUCAGUCCCCAUGCCAGCCCUGUGAAUAACAGCCUCCAAUGAUGAAUUCAGACGACAGGUAACUUGUCUCCUGCUUUGCAUCACAGGCAUUCUAAAGAGACACCCCCAUGGUCUUAAUUCCUGGAAAACAAUCAUUUCCACUGUACAACAUUCAAAACCCAAGGGAGGCAGUUUGGUAAUUUAGCAUUUUUGUUUCAUGUGAAAAUAUUAUUUCUAGUUUAUAAU
This 1002-nucleotide long non-coding RNA is filed under the name Delphinapterus leucas (beluga whale). Its description in RNAcentral is "lncRNA (ENSDLEG00000018970.1)". The record is from RNAcentral. Lineage: Eukaryota; Metazoa; Chordata; Mammalia; Artiodactyla; Monodontidae.